This 839-nucleotide long non-coding RNA is filed under the name Zea mays. Its description in RNAcentral is "long non-coding RNA (ZMAY_LNC002318)". Lineage: Eukaryota; Viridiplantae; Streptophyta; Magnoliopsida; Poales; Poaceae. The record is from RNAcentral.
AGGAGGACAGAGUGUGUAGGCAAGGAUGGAGCUCGCUGGCUGCUAGGAGUUGGGUACGUCGUCUCCUUCUUCUCCCUCUAUGGUUUCUCUGCACUCACGACAACGGCGUGGGGUGUUUGGCUCUCGGAGUCUCGGUGGCGCUUCGGCAAAUCUCUCAAUGCACUGCCCGGUGACUAACUCGUGGAGACUUGUAUAUGGCAUUGCGAAUGCAACGACAUGGGUCUAGUUUUAUACCCCCAAGCAGGAUUGUAACAGCCUGGUGAGUUUGUUACAACCAGAUGGAGUUUGAGGGGAUUACAUCCAUGUCUGUUACAAGGAAACAUAGUUUGUUAUGGCUCAUUUUCAGAUCAAAACGGCGUGGGGAAAGGGGGGUUGAGCCCGCCAUGGGACCCUACACGUAAUCGACCAAGAAUGCAUGUGUGGUGAAGCUCCGUAGGCGAGAUGGAAGAUGGUCGAUGCGGUGGGAAAUACCGAGCAAACCUUGGGCGUCUGUUCACGGCGAACUCCUCCAGAUUGCAUUGGAUCGCAACAAACCGGAUGAGAACGAUGUCGCGAGGAAGACGCCAUUGGGAAGGCCCUGUUGGUCAGGGGGACGUAGGGGGGUCAUGGUGCGCAUGCGCUGGUGUGGAGGCGAUCUGAGCUGUGCGGCUGUGUGGUUUUGGCCCAAGAGUUGUAGUGCUUUUUUAUCUUUUCUAAUUCAUGUUUUUCUUUUCUAUUUUGAAAUUUUAGUUCUCCAACAAAUUCAAAUUUCAAACUUUAAAGUAAAUGCACAAACAGAGGUCCAACAUGGGACGCAAAUAUUUUAAAUGUAUUUAUUAAUUAAUUUAUUAAUUUAUUAG